GCCGCGGUAGCUCAGCUGGGAGAGCGUUAGACUGAAGCUCAAUCUACAGGUCACCUGUUCAAGCCAGGUUCGUGGCA
This 77-nucleotide transfer RNA is filed under the name Rhizoctonia solani. Its description in RNAcentral is "tRNA-Phe". It matches the Rfam family "tRNA". Rfam says of the family: Transfer RNA (tRNA) molecules are approximately 80 nucleotides in length. Lineage: Eukaryota; Fungi; Basidiomycota; Agaricomycetes; Cantharellales; Ceratobasidiaceae. The record is from RNAcentral.